ACCAGACUCCUACGGGAGGCAGCAGUGGGGGAUAUUGCACAAUGGGGGGAACCCUGAUGCAGCGACGCCGCGUGGGUGAAGAAGCGCCUCGGCGCGUAAAGCCCUGUCAGCAGGGAAGAAAAUGACGGUACCUGACUAAGAAGCCCCGGCUAACUACGUGCCAGCAGCCGCGGUAAUACGUAGGGGGCAAGCGUUAUCCGGAUUUAUUGGGUUUAAAGGGUGCGCAGGCGGAGGCACAAGUCAGCGGUAAAAUCGCGGGGCUCACCCCCGCUCCGCCGUUGAAACUGUGUCCCUUGAGUGCGUGAAGGGUAGGCGGAAUGCGUGGUGUAGCGGUGAAAUGCAUAGAUAUCACGCAGAACUCCGAUCGCGAAGGCAGCCUACCGGCGCGCAACUGACGCUCAUGCACGAAAGCGUGGGUAUCGAACAGGAUUAGAUACCCCCGUACA
This 446-nucleotide ribosomal RNA is filed under the name uncultured bacterium. Its description in RNAcentral is "partial 16S ribosomal RNA". It matches the Rfam family "Bacterial small subunit ribosomal RNA", at positions 330 to 794 of the family's 1533-position model. The record is from RNAcentral.